Molecule: ribosomal RNA, 825 nt
Filed under: Triticum aestivum (bread wheat)
Lineage: Eukaryota; Viridiplantae; Streptophyta; Magnoliopsida; Poales; Poaceae
Description: partial small subunit ribosomal RNA
Source: RNAcentral
AUGGUACUAGGAUACUCAGAGGAAGAAUCCCGACGCAUAGCCAAUAGGUUGAACUGCCGUCUUGGCUCGUUCUCGACCACCUACCUUGGCCUCCCAAUUAGCGAUUCCCGCCUCCAGGCAAAGGACCUUCGCCCCACGGUGUCCAAACUCCAACACAGGAUCGAACCAUGGCAAGGGAGGUGGCUAUCCAAGGCGGCCCGGGUCGUGUUGAUGAACUCUUCCUUGGUUAGCCUACUUAUGUACCUGAUGGGAUUCUAUAGUUUGCAUGAAUCCCUUCAUCAGGAAGUCACCAAGUACUUGGCCCGGUUCCUCUGGGCGGGCCUAGAUAAUAAACAAAAGUAUCACAUGGUAAAAUGGUCUGAGAUUUGCAAGCCAAAGGACCAAGGAGGCUUUGGGGUCAUCUCGUCCAAACGAAUGAACAUAGCCUUGCUCUCCAAGUGGCUAUGGCGCAUUGAGACGGGAGAUGGAGGCCUAUGGCUUCAGGUCAUCCGUGCAAAGUACCUACGUGGACAGCCCCUGGCCUUCGCCCCCCGGUCGGGUGGCUCCCAGUUUUGGCAGGCAAUCAUCCAACUUAUGCCGGUCCUACGGAUUGGAACAUCCAUCUCGGUAGGGACCGGCACCAACACCCUGUUCUGGCUGGACCGUUGGUCGGGUGACCGACCAUUUGCUCGGCGUUUCAACGCGCUCUUCUCUAUUUGUGUUCGACCGCACCUAUUCAUUAUCUUGGUCCCUGGAACCAAGUGGGAGGUUUUCUACCAAGUCCCUAUACCGCGCCAUGCUAGCCACCCCGGGCCCAACCGAAAUGACCCUUCUCUGGGAGAUUAA